RNAcentral lists this ribosomal RNA (254 nucleotides) under uncultured bacterium. RNAcentral's name for it is "partial small subunit ribosomal RNA". It matches the Rfam family "Bacterial small subunit ribosomal RNA", at positions 26 to 285 of the family's 1533-position model. The record is from RNAcentral.
AGGACGAACGCUGGCGGCGUGCUUAACACAUGCAAGUCGAACGGUGAAGCCUUUCGGGUGGAUCAGUGGCGAACGGGUGAGUAACACGUGGGCAAUCUGCCCUGCAUUCUGGGACAAGCCUUGGAAACGAGGUCUAAUACCGGAUACGACGCAUCCCCGCAUGGGGUGUGCGUGGAAAGCUCCGGCGAUGCAGGAUGAGCCCGCGGCCUAUCAGCUUGUUGGUGGGUGAUGGCCUACCAAGGCGACGACGGGUA